GCGGCCAUAGUUUAGUGGUAGAAUGAUUGCUUCCCAAGCAAUAGAUGGGAGUCCGAUUCUCCCUGGCCGCACCA
This 74-nucleotide transfer RNA is filed under the name Candidatus Giovannonibacteria bacterium RIFCSPHIGHO2_01_FULL_43_100. RNAcentral's name for it is "tRNA-Gly". It matches the Rfam family "tRNA". From Rfam's summary of the family: Transfer RNA (tRNA) molecules are approximately 80 nucleotides in length. The record is from RNAcentral. Lineage: Bacteria; Candidatus Giovannoniibacteriota. RNAcentral also lists the same sequence under 5 other names.